GAUGAACGCUGGCGGCGUGCUUAACACAUGCAAGUCGAACGGGAAACCUUUUAUUGAGGCUUCGGCAGGUGUAGCUGGCUUCUAGUGGCGGACGGGUGAGUAACGCGUGGGUAACCUGCCUUAUACAGGGGGCUAACAGUAAGAAAUGGCUGCUAAUACCGCAUAAGCGCACGGGGCUGCAUGUCUCAGUGGGAAAAACUCCGGUGGUAUAAGAUGGACGCGCGUUGGAUUAGCUGGCUGGUGGGGUAACGGCCGAGCAGGGCGACGUUGCAUAGCCGGCCUGAGAGGGGGAACCGCCACAUUGGGACUGAGACACGGCCCAGACUCCUACGGGAGGCAGCAGUGGGGAAUAUUGCACAAUGGGGCAAAACCUGAUGCAGCGACGCCGCGUGAAGGAAGAAGUAGCUCGGUAUGUAAACUUCUAUCAGCAGGGAAGAUAAUGACGGUACCUGACUAAGAAGCCCCGGCUAACUACGUG
RNAcentral lists this ribosomal RNA (478 nucleotides) under uncultured bacterium. RNAcentral's name for it is "partial 16S ribosomal RNA". It matches the Rfam family "Bacterial small subunit ribosomal RNA", at positions 28 to 507 of the family's 1533-position model. The record is from RNAcentral.